RNAcentral lists this ribosomal RNA (607 nucleotides) under Photobacterium phosphoreum. RNAcentral describes it as "bacterial SSU rRNA". It matches the Rfam family "Bacterial small subunit ribosomal RNA", at positions 1 to 594 of the family's 1533-position model. Lineage: Bacteria; Pseudomonadati; Pseudomonadota; Gammaproteobacteria; Vibrionales; Vibrionaceae. The record is from RNAcentral.
UUAAUUGAAGAGUUUGAUCAUGGCUCAGAUUGAACGCUGGCGGCAGGCCUAACACAUGCAAGUCGAGCGGUAACAGAAAGAAAGCUUGCUUUCUUUGCUGACGAGCGGCGGACGGGUGAGUAAUGCCUGGGAAUAUACCCUGAUGUGGGGGAUAACUAUUGGAAACGAUAGCUAAUACCGCAUAAUCUCUUCGGAGCAAAGAGGGGGACCUUCGGGCCUCUCGCGUCAGGAUUAGCCCAGGUGGGAUUAGCUAGUUGGUGGGGUAAUGGCUCACCAAGGCGACGAUCCCUAGCUGGUCUGAGAGGAUGAUCAGCCACACUGGAACUGAGACACGGUCCAGACUCCUACGGGAGGCAGCAGUGGGGAAUAUUGCACAAUGGGGGAAACCCUGAUGCAGCCAUGCCGCGUGUAUGAAGAAGGCCUUCGGGUUGUAAAGUACUUUCAGUUGUGAGGAAGGCGUUGGAGUUAAUAGCUUCAGCGCUUGACGUUAGCAACAGAAGAAGCACCGGCUAACUCCGUGCCAGCAGCCGCGGUAAUACGGAGGGUGCGAGCGUUAAUCGGAAUUACUGGGCGUAAAGCGCAUGCAGGCGGUCUGUUAAGCAAGAUG